Molecule: ribosomal RNA, 597 nt
Filed under: Copelatus sp. MB5335
Lineage: Eukaryota; Metazoa; Arthropoda; Insecta; Coleoptera; Dytiscidae
Description: SSU rRNA
Rfam family: Eukaryotic small subunit ribosomal RNA
Source: RNAcentral
UUGAUCCUGCCAGUAGUCAUAUGCUUGUCUCAAAGAUUAAGCCAUGCAUGUCUCAGUACAAGCCACAUUAAGGUGAAACCGCGAAAGGCUCAUUAAAUCAGUUAUGGUUCCUUAGAUCGUACCCACAUUUACUUGGAUAACUGUGGUAAUUCUAGAGCUAAUACAUGCAAACAGAGUUCCGACCGGAGACGGGAGGAAUGCUUUUAUUAGAUCAAAACCAAUCGGCGGCGGGUGCGCUCGCGCGCCCGUUCGCCGCUCAACCUGGUGACUCUGAAUAACUUUCGGCUGAUCGCACGGUCCAGCACCGGCGACGCAUCUUUCAAAUGUCUGCCUUAUCAACUGUCGAUGGUAGGUUCUGCGCCUACCAUGGUCGUAACGGGUAACGGGGAAUCAGGGUUCGAUUCCGGAGAGGGAGCCUGAGAAACGGCUACCACAUCCAAGGAAGGCAGCAGGCGCGCAAAUUACCCACUCCCGGCACGGGGAGGUAGUGACGAAAAAUAACGAUACGGGACUCAUCCGAGGCCCCGUAAUCGGAAUGAGUACACUUUAAAUCCUUUAACGAGGAUCAAUUGGAGGGCAAGUCUGGUGCCAGCAGCC